UUGAAAUACCACCCUUUAAUGUUUGAUGUUCUAACGUGGACCCGUGAUCCGGGUUGCGGACAGUGUCUGGUGGGUAGUUUGACUGGGGCGGUCUCCUCCUAAAGAGUAACGGAGGAGCACGAAGGUUGGCUAAUCCUGGUCGGACAUCAGGAGGUUAGUGCAAUGGCAUAAGCCAGCUUGACUGCGAGCGUGACGGCGCGAGCAGGUGCGAAAGCAGGUCAUAGUGAUCCGGUGGUUCUGAAUGGAAGGGCCAUCGCUCAACGGAUAAAAGGUACUCCGGGGAUAACAGGCUGAUACCGCCCAAGAGUUCAUAUCGACGGCGGUGUUUGGCACCUCGAUGUCGGCUCAUCACAUCCUGGGGCUGAAGUAGGUCCCAAGGGUAUGGCUGUUCGCCAUUUAAAGUGGUACGCGAGCUGGGUUUAGAACGUCGUGAGACAGUUCGGUCCCUAUCUGCCGUGGGCGCUGGAGAACUGAGGGGGGCUGCUCCUAGUACGAGAGGACCGGAGUGGACGCAUCACUGGUGUUCGGGUUGUCAUGCCAAUGGCACUGCCCGGUAGCUAAAUGCGGAAGAGAUAAGUGCUGAAAGCAUCUAAGCACGAAACUUGCCCCGAGAUGAGUUCUCCCUGAGACUUAGAGUCUCCUGAAGGAACGUUGAAGACGACGACGUUGAUAGGCCGGGUGUGUAAGCGCAGCGAUGCGUUGAGCUAACCGGUACUAAUGAACCGUGAGGCUUAACCUUACAACGCCGAAG
RNAcentral lists this ribosomal RNA (751 nucleotides) under Salmonella enterica subsp. enterica serovar Schwarzengrund. RNAcentral's name for it is "partial 23S ribosomal RNA". It matches the Rfam family "Bacterial large subunit ribosomal RNA", at positions 2192 to 2925 of the family's 2925-position model. Lineage: Bacteria; Pseudomonadati; Pseudomonadota; Gammaproteobacteria; Enterobacterales; Enterobacteriaceae. The record is from RNAcentral.